Molecule: transfer RNA, 69 nt
Filed under: Ictidomys tridecemlineatus (thirteen-lined ground squirrel)
Lineage: Eukaryota; Metazoa; Chordata; Mammalia; Rodentia; Sciuridae
Description: Spermophilus tridecemlineatus (thirteen-lined ground squirrel) tRNA
Rfam family: tRNA
About the family: Transfer RNA (tRNA) molecules are approximately 80 nucleotides in length. Their secondary structure includes four short double-helical elements and three loops (D, anti-codon, and T loops). Further hydrogen bonds mediate the characteristic L-shaped molecular structure. tRNAs have two regions of fundamental functional importance: the anti-codon, which is responsible for specific mRNA codon recognition, and the 3' end, to which the tRNAs corresponding amino acid is attached (by aminoacyl-tRNA synthetases). tRNAs cope with the degeneracy of the genetic code in two manners: having more than one tRNA (with a specific anti-codon) for a particular amino acid; and 'wobble' base-pairing, i.e. permitting non-standard base-pairing at the 3rd anti-codon position.
Source: Rfam by way of RNAcentral
GGGAUUGUGGCUUAGUGGUAGAGCACUUGCCUAGCAUGCUUGAGGCCCUAGGUUCGAUCCUUAGCACCA